AAGGUUUGAACAACAUGAAUCCCAGAUGCUAAUUGAAAACCUAUGAAAAAGUUUUUGUGGGAAAACAUUAUGAACGUACAAAUGAAGUUUCUGAUUUCGGUUGAGGGUUCUGAUUUCGACAGCACUCCUCACCGUCUGAUCGUCUGAUCAACUUGUUCUGUGUCUCAGCUGUGUGUGUGUGGCCUAUGCACAGAAAUAAUAACUUAUUAAAAAUCCUAUGUUUGGAGUUCUUAAUUUAUAUUUAAUUAAUAUAUCACAUUCUGCAAAACUUAAUAAAUUCCUAAUCAUAUCCAAACAGAGGGGGGCAGUCGCUUUCACUUAUUCAUGGUUCAGAGAUGGUCGUCAUUUAUUUCUCUAGGGGGUAAAACGUAUCCAAUUUUAACUAACAAAAUCUAACAUUGACUUCCUGCAAGGACACUGUUAUUAGGGAGGAAGAAGGAAGGGAGGAAGAGAAGAAGGAAGGAAGGAAAAAACAAGGGAAGAAAGGAAGGAGAAAGGAAGGAAGGAAAGAGGGAGGGAGGAAGAAAGGAAAGAUGCAAGGAAGGAAGGAAGAGAAAAGAAAAAAAAGGGAGAGGUUGUGGCAGGGGUCCUUGAGUUGUUUUGAGGUGCUAAUAACCUUGAGAGAGACACGAAAUAACAAAAUAACGAGGUCACUUUUACAAGCAAUAUGCGGAAUCUGCAAACUGAUGUGAUACAGUACAAAAGCCUGUGCUGGCCGGCCGGCUUCAGCGAGGGCAGGGACUGGGGGCGGGUCACUCUCCCUUGUAACUGAGCACCUAGCUUGGGAGCUGGCAGAACAAGCUCGCAAGUAUUUGUUGAGCAAAUGAAUGAGAAGAGUCUGAAGAGACGACUAGCCAGUGGCGUUAGGCUGAUAGCAUUCCAUAAAGCAGAUGAAUUUGGAGUUAGAUCCUAAAACCGGGGAGGGACGUGGACUGGCAGUCAGGAGUGGAGGAAUAAGGAGUGCAAUUGGAUGGCCCAAGCUGCAGAGGCAAAGAGCAAAGCCACGUUAGGGAUGACCUUGCCCUUGCCUUGGCUGCAGCAGAGGGCUUGACUGCAGAAGGAGAGGAGCAGGAGGCUGGAGGAGAAAGGUGGUAGUGGAGCAGGAGGUUGUGGGAUUUGUACUCUAUACAUUAGGCAGCGUCACCACGACCUUGAGCAGAGCAGUGACAGGAUGAAAUCUGGGUUUGAGGAAAAUUACUUUAGCAGCUGUUUGUAGA
This 1217-nucleotide long non-coding RNA is filed under the name Equus caballus (horse). RNAcentral describes it as "lncRNA (ENSECAG00000053484.1)". Lineage: Eukaryota; Metazoa; Chordata; Mammalia; Perissodactyla; Equidae. The record is from RNAcentral.